GUAAUGGCUCGUACAGACUACAUGACUUUGAAACGUAGGUCCGAACUGUGCGGUUCACACUACAUGACUUGCUCUCUGUGAAAUCAGGAGUGUUCACGUUGUUGAGCAGUUCACACCACACGACACAACGUGAAUGCCCCACAACAGGAGGUAACGCACUACACGAGUUGAGAACAACUCUAUUACCCAACGAUUCUAUCUUGUCUACAAACCCUGUUCUGUCACGAAAAAUCACGCGAUAAAACAAACCGGAAAUGACGCGAAACUACACGCGCGCCGGUAAAAACCCACAGAAGAAGAAACGAGACGCGCAAAACUUUUGUUUGUAUAUAUAGACUUCAGACAGAAAUAAGUGCUGCAAACCGUUUGCGCGAUGCAAAGCCGCAAAAGAAAAAAAUUAUAGAGAUGUGAUGUGGAGCGGUGGAUCAGCACACGCGGACAGCAGGGAUUAAAGAUUUGAGAAUAGGACAGGCUUCGCAAAACAUGAUUUGGAGAGCGUUUGUCUUUGACCCUGCGAUUCUAUGCAACAGGUGACACGUUCAAGUUCAUCAGGUUCAAGUCCAGGAUGGGAGACCAGCACCAUCUCACAAAUAGUUUUGGAUGUUCUGCUCUGUACCAGGUUAUAAAGGACGAUUUCUUGAAGACACCAUCAACGGAAGGAGAGUGGCAUACAAUAGCCAUGGACUUCGAAAGGAAGUGGCAGUUUCCACAUUGCUUUGGGGUACUUGCUACCACUCCAGCUGUAGCAGACUGCUGACCACAACAUGGAUGAUGGGCAGUGGAAGAUUCACGGGAUGUGUGCUUUUCAACCGAUGAAAUACACCUCACAUCGCAAUUGUAUGGCAAUAGCAAAAGUGCAACGCAAUCUGAUGCGGGACUACUUUGUCUCACCAGCGGGUAGUGAUUAUUGGCAAGUUCAUCACAUUUUAAAAGGAACUGAUGUAGAGUUAUCCCUGCAAACAGCAGAUUAAAGCCAGUUAUUGUCAGUUUAGGACAUUCGUUUUCUUGUGUGUUCUAAAGUCCUGUAUUUGUAAAGAACACACACGUGGUUCACUUAUUCACUGUUUUAAGGAUUCUGUUUAUUGUUGUGUUAUUAUUGAAUACAUUUUAAUUGCAUACAAAUCAAAAGGUGCAGGAAUGUAAUAAAGGCAAUCUGCAUGUUGCAAUUAA
This is a non-coding RNA of Misgurnus anguillicaudatus (oriental weatherfish), 1170 nucleotides long. The record is from RefSeq and is a predicted model, not a curated record. Lineage: Eukaryota; Metazoa; Chordata; Actinopteri; Cypriniformes; Cobitidae.